This 307-nucleotide ribosomal RNA is filed under the name uncultured bacterium. RNAcentral describes it as "partial 16S ribosomal RNA". It matches the Rfam family "Bacterial small subunit ribosomal RNA", at positions 506 to 809 of the family's 1533-position model. The record is from RNAcentral.
AGACAGCAGUCGCCACGGUAAUACGUAGGUGGCAAGCGUUGUCCGGAAUUAUUGGGCGUAAAGCGCGCGCAGGUGGUUUAAUAAGUCUGAUGUGAAAGCCCACGGCUCAACCGUGGAGGGUCAUUGGAAACUGUUAAACUUGAGUGCAGGAGAGAAAAGUGGAAUUCCUAGUGUAGCGGUGAAAUGCGUAGAGAUUAGGAGGAACACCAGUGGCGAAGGCGGCUUUUUGGCCUGUAACUGACACUGAGGCGCGAAAGCGUGGGGAGCAAACAGGAUUAGAUACCCCUGUAGUCCCUGUCUCUUAUAA